This 77-nucleotide non-coding RNA is filed under the name bovine gut metagenome. RNAcentral's name for it is "Cyclic di-GMP-I riboswitch". It matches the Rfam family "c-di-GMP-I riboswitch aptamer". Rfam says of the family: GEMM was predicted in a large-scale screen for bacterial structured RNA regulatory elements. Genes associated with GEMM are involved in a diverse array of functions, including chemotaxis regulation, signal transduction, secretion and chitin. The record is from RNAcentral.
AGAAAAAGGCAAAACUAAAGUGAUUUAGUGACGCAAAACUAUAGGGUCUAAUUAUGUAUUUUAGAUAGCCAGUUGCC